UACGUAGGGUGCGAGCGUUGCCCGGAUUUAUUGGGCGUAAAGGGCGCGUAGGCGGUCACGCACGUCCGUUGUGAAAUCGCUCGGCUCAACUGGGCGGGGUCAGCGGAUACGGCGUGGCUGGAGCAAGCUAGGGGGCAAUGGAAUUCCCGGUGUAGUGGUGGAAUGCGUAGAGAUCCGGAAGAACACCAGUGGCGAAGGCGGUCUGCUGGGCAGUUGCUGACACUGAGGCGCGACAGCGUGGGGAGCAAACAGG
Molecule: ribosomal RNA, 253 nt
Filed under: uncultured bacterium
Lineage: Bacteria
Description: partial 16S ribosomal RNA
Rfam family: Bacterial small subunit ribosomal RNA
Source: RNAcentral